This 450-nucleotide ribosomal RNA is filed under the name uncultured bacterium. RNAcentral describes it as "partial 16S ribosomal RNA". It matches the Rfam family "Bacterial small subunit ribosomal RNA", at positions 354 to 796 of the family's 1533-position model. The record is from RNAcentral.
GUGGGGAAUUUUGGACAAUGGGCGCAAGCCUGAUCCAGCAAUGCCGCGUGCAGGAAGAAGGCCUUCGGGUUGUAAACUGCUUUUGUACGGAACGAAACGGUCCUGGUUAAUACCUGGGGCUAAUGACGGUACCGUAAGAAUAAGCACCGGCUAACUACGUGCCAGCAGCCGCGGUAAUACGUAGGGUGCGAGCGUUAAUCGGAAUUACUGGGCGUAAAGCGUGCGCAGGCGGUGCUGUAAGACAGGCGUGAAAUCCCCGGGCUCAACCUGGGAAUUGCGCUUGUGACUGCAAGGCUGGAGUGCGGCAGAGGGGGAUGGAAUUCCGCGUGUAGCAGUGAAAUGCGUAGAUAUGCGGAGGAACACCGAUGGCGAAGGCAAUCCCCUGGGCCUGCACUGACGCUCAUGCACGAAAGCGUGGGGAGCAAACAGGAUUAGAAACCCGGGUAGUCC